Long non-coding RNA from Rosa rugosa (rugosa rose), 638 nucleotides. RefSeq lists it as uncharacterized. NCBI's taxonomy places the organism in Eukaryota, Viridiplantae, Streptophyta, Magnoliopsida, Rosales, Rosaceae. The record is from RefSeq and is a predicted model, not a curated record. The transcript has 3 exons.
UAGAAGGCAUCGAGGCCUGAAAUUGAAGCUUUGACGUCGAAAUCGAGCCUUGCCGGAUUCUGCAAAAUUCUGGAAUUUUUCCGACCACCGAAGCUUUCGAUCGGUAUAUCUCGAGCUACAGACCAUAUUUUUCUGUGAUUCUUGAACAAGUGAGUUCUUCUUGAGUUUCUUAACAACUCUUCAGAAGGAAUCGAAGCCUUAAAUUGACGUUUUUACGUCGAAUUGGAGCUCGCCGUUUUCUGCAGUUUCUCGCCGGUUUCUGGAAAAUUCCGGCCACCUUCAUACUGUUCAAGGUGAUCGACGGUUUGAUUUGGCGGACGAUUCGUGAAAUUGUAUUUUGAGCUGUUAAGAAGACGCAGCGGGAAUUUAGAGCGGGUAAUCCUACAGGACAGGAGAACCAGGACGGUGAUCGUGCGGUUAGAGCAAUGGUUAUAGUUUUACAGCAAUUGUAAUAGUGAGGCGAGUUAAGCUCAUUUGAGCAUUACAAUUUGAUUUGGUGGGAGUGUGCUGUAAUAAAUAACUUGAGGAUUUGGGUUAUUGUAAAUUUGAGAGUUGUGAAGUGUGGUUGUUUGUGAGAAAAAAAUUCAGGAUGUUAGUUGUAAUUUGUUAUUAUUCAUGUUUCGGAUUUGAAUUGAUUA